AGUCGAGCGGACAGAAGGGAGCUUGCUCCCGGAUGUUAGCGGCGGACGGGUGAGUAACACGUGGGUAACCUGCCUGUAAGACUGGGAUAACUCCGGGAAACCGGAGCUAAUACCGGAUAGUUCCUUGAACCGCAUGGUUCAAGGAUGAAAGACGGUUUCGGCUGUCACUUACAGAUGGACCCGCGGCGCAUUAGCUAGUUGGUGAGGUAACGGCUCACCAAGGCGACGAUGCGUAGCCGACCUGAGAGGGUGAUCGGCCACACUGGGACUGAGACACGGCCCAGACUCCUACGGGAGGCAGCAGUAGGGAAUCUUCCGCAAUGGACGAAAGUCUGACGGAGCAACGCCGCGUGAGUGAUGAAGGUUUUCGGAUCGUAAAGCUCUGUUGUUAGGGAAGAACAAGUGCAAGAGUAACUGCUUGCACCUUGACGGUACCUAACCAGAAAGCCACGGCUAACUACGUGCCAGCAGCCGCGGUAAUACGUAGGUGGCAAGCGUUGUCCGGAAUUAUUGGGCGUAAAGGGCUCGCAGGCGGUUUCUUAAGUCUGAUGUGAAAGCCCCCGGCUCAACCGGGGAGGGUCAUUGGAAACUGGGAAACUUGAGUGCAGAAGAGGAGAGUGGAAUUCCACGUGUAGCGGUGAAAUGCGUAGAGAUGUGGAGGAACACCAGUGGCGAAGGCGACUCUCUGGUCUGUAACUGACGCUGAGGAGCGAAAGCGUGGGGAGCGAACAGGAUUAGAUACCCUGGUAGUCCACGCCGUAAACGAUGAGUGCUAAGUGUUAGGGGGUUUCCGCCCCUUAGUGCUGCAGCUAACGCAUUAAGCACUCCGCCUGGGGAGUACGGUCGCAAGACUGAAACUCAAAGGAAUUGACGGGGGCCCGCACAAGCGGUGGAGCAUGUGGUUUAAUUCGAAGCAACGCGAAGAACCUUACCAGGUCUUGACAUCCUCUGACAACCCUAGAGAUAGGGCUUUCCCUUCGGGGACAGAGUGACAGGUGGUGCAUGGUUGUCGUCAGCUCGUGUCGUGAGAUGUUGGGUUAAGUCCCGCAACGAGCGCAACCCUUGAUCUUAGUUGCCAGCAUUCAGUUGGGCACUCUAAGGUGACUGCCGGUGACAAACCGGAGGAAGGUGGGGAUGACGUCAAAUCAUCAUGCCCCUUAUG
RNAcentral lists this ribosomal RNA (1162 nucleotides) under Bacillus sp. (in: firmicutes). Its description in RNAcentral is "bacterial SSU rRNA". It matches the Rfam family "Bacterial small subunit ribosomal RNA", at positions 60 to 1206 of the family's 1533-position model. Lineage: Bacteria; Bacillati; Bacillota; Bacilli; Caryophanales; Bacillaceae. The record is from RNAcentral.